AAGCGAAGCUCUUGAUCGCCGCCCCGGUAACCGGCGGCGG
Molecule: ribosomal RNA, 40 nt
Filed under: Escherichia coli
Lineage: Bacteria; Pseudomonadati; Pseudomonadota; Gammaproteobacteria; Enterobacterales; Enterobacteriaceae
Description: partial 23S ribosomal RNA
Source: RNAcentral